This 75-nucleotide transfer RNA is filed under the name Candidatus Palibaumannia cicadellinicola. Its description in RNAcentral is "Candidatus Baumannia cicadellinicola tRNA-Arg". It matches the Rfam family "tRNA". Rfam says of the family: Transfer RNA (tRNA) molecules are approximately 80 nucleotides in length. Their secondary structure includes four short double-helical elements and three loops (D, anti-codon, and T loops). Further hydrogen bonds mediate the characteristic L-shaped molecular structure. tRNAs have two regions of fundamental functional importance: the anti-codon, which is responsible for specific mRNA codon recognition, and the 3' end, to which the tRNAs corresponding amino acid is attached (by aminoacyl-tRNA synthetases). tRNAs cope with the degeneracy of the genetic code in two manners: having more than one tRNA (with a specific anti-codon) for a particular amino acid; and 'wobble' base-pairing, i.e. permitting non-standard base-pairing at the 3rd anti-codon position. Lineage: Bacteria; Pseudomonadati; Pseudomonadota; Gammaproteobacteria. The record is from RNAcentral.
GCGCCCGUAGCUCAGCUUGGAUAGAGCGCUGCCCUCCGGAGGCAGAGGUCUCAGGUUCAAAUCCUGUCGGGCGUA